GACGAACGCUGGCGGCGUGCUUAACACAUGCGAGUCGAACGGAAAGGCCCUGCUUUUGUGGGGUGCUCGAGUGGCGAACGGGUGAGUAACACGUGAGUAACCUGCCCUUGACUUUGGGAUAACUUCAGGAAACUGGGGCUAAUACCGGAUAGGAGCUCCUGCUGCAUGGUGGGGGUUGGAAAGUUUCGGCGGUUGGGGAUGGACUCGCGGCUUAUCAGCUUGUUGGUGGGGUAGUGGCUUACCAAGGCUUUGACGGGUAGCCGGCCUGGGAGGGUGACCGGCCACCUUGGGACUGCGAUACGGCCCAGACUCCUACGGGAGGCAGCAGUGGGGAAUAUUGCCCAAUGGGCGGAAGCCUGAUGCAGCAACGCCGCGUGCGGGAUGACGGCCUUCGGGUUGUAAACCGCUUUCGCCUGUGACGAAGCGUGAGUGACGGUAAUGGGUAAAGAAGCACCGGCUAACUACGUG
RNAcentral lists this ribosomal RNA (468 nucleotides) under uncultured bacterium. RNAcentral describes it as "partial 16S ribosomal RNA". It matches the Rfam family "Bacterial small subunit ribosomal RNA", at positions 28 to 507 of the family's 1533-position model. The record is from RNAcentral.